This 253-nucleotide ribosomal RNA is filed under the name uncultured bacterium. RNAcentral describes it as "partial 16S ribosomal RNA". It matches the Rfam family "Bacterial small subunit ribosomal RNA", at positions 524 to 776 of the family's 1533-position model. The record is from RNAcentral.
UACGUAGGGGGCAAGCGUUGUCCGGAAUUACUGGGCGUAAAGAGCUCGUAGGUGGUUUGUCGCGUUGUCCGUGAAAACUCACAACUCAAUUGUGGGCGUGCGGGCGAUACGGGCAGACUGGAGUACUGCAGGGGAGACUGGAAUUCCUGGUGUAGCGGUGGAAUGCGCAGAUAUCAGGAGGAACACCGGUGGCGAAGGCGGGUCUCUGGGCAGUAACUGACGCUGAGGAGCGAAAGCGUGGGGAGCGAACAGG